GCAAAAUCAAGAUCACGUGUCUAGCCUCGCAGGGCUUUGGCGUUCUCCGUGUUGGAGCUGAACGGCAGUGAAAGGUGCACUAUGGGCCGCCUGGACGGGAAAGUGAUUGUGUUAUCUGCCGCCGCGCAGGGGAUUGGACGUGCCGCAGCAAUCGCGUUUGCGAAGGAGGGCGCUCAGGUCACAGCGACGGACAUAAAUGGAGAGAAGCUGAAGGAGCUGGACGGCAUUCAAGGGAUCAAGACCAAAGUGGUGGAUGUGACGAAGAGGGACCAAGUGGAAGCUCUGGCUAAAGAGCAUGACCAUGUAGACGUGCUCUUCAACGUAGCUGGGUUUGUGCACCACGGCUCCAUCUUGGACUGUGAAGAGGCUGACUGGGACUUCUCAAUGGACGUGAACUUACGGAGCAUGUACCUCAUGUGCAAAGCUUUCCUGCCUAAGAUGCUGGCAAAGAAGUCAGGAAACAUUAUUAACAUGUCAUCUGUUGCAUCAAGCAUAAAAGGUGUUGUGAACCGGUGUGUCUACAGCACCUCCAAGGCUGCAGUGAUUGGACUCACCAAGUCUAUAGCGGCCGAUUUCAUUGAACAAGGCAUUCGCUGUAACUGUGUUUGUCCUGGUACUGUUGAUACUCCAUCCCUGAGGGGUCGGAUCCAGGCCCAACCUGACCAGAACAGGUAGACUGUGAUUUUUUACAUUUAUUUUCUCUAUGCUAAAUCAGACAGUUAGCAGGUGUUAUCUUGGUUUCCAGGAGAAGAAGCACUGAUCACUGGGUUGUACAACUUCUCUGCAGGCCUUCAAGGAUUUUAUGGCGAGACAGAAAACUGGCAGAAUGUGCACAGCUGAGGAGGUAGCAUACCUGUGUGUGUACCUGGCCUCAGACGAGUCAGCUUAUGUGACUGGGACGGAACAAAUCAUUGACGGAGGCUGGAGUCUGUGAGGAACUUGUGACAGAUGCAUUGUGACAGGAGUGAAAGCAGUUUCCCCCCCCCACC
This is an RNA transcript of Acanthochromis polyacanthus (spiny chromis), 989 nucleotides long. It is a transcript of the gene named 3-hydroxybutyrate dehydrogenase, type 2, with no coding region annotated. NCBI's taxonomy places the organism in Eukaryota, Metazoa, Chordata, Actinopteri, Pomacentridae. The record is from RefSeq and is a predicted model, not a curated record. The transcript is spliced from 9 exons.